RNAcentral lists this non-coding RNA (639 nucleotides) under Pan troglodytes (chimpanzee). Lineage: Eukaryota; Metazoa; Chordata; Mammalia; Primates; Hominidae. The record is from RNAcentral.
ACAAGAAGGAAUCAGGAGGCAGAGCACAUGGUUAAAGCAUGAGAUGUGAAACCAGGAAGAACCAGGUCUGAACCUUAGCUCCACCAGUGGUAGCCCCAAACCUUGGUCCUUUCUGAGCCUGCUUCUUCAACCCUAAGGUGUGACUACAUUGAGCAGUAACAGCAAAACCUGAAAGAGAAUGGAUACAGGUGUUCAUUUCAGAUGGUACAAGUUUAACAAAGUACAAGAGCAACUUAAGGAACUCGGAAACGGGACCCAGAAAGUUGUUUUCUGCAAGUGGAUGGAACAACACAAGCAAUCAGUAUCCUGAAACAGGCCCUGUUCCAACAAACUGACCCAGAAAGAGGUUAUACCAAUUAUCUCUCCAGCAAGUAUGAGGACUCCUGUUUCCCUACGUACUCACUACUACAGCAAAGAUAUCAAACAUUGAUACCCACCAAUCUCUGGAUGGAAAAACAAAUCUCAGGAAUCGCUUGCAGGAGGCUCUGCACGUUCCUCAGAUUCAGAGUCACUGUCCUUUUGCCUGUGAAGCUCCUCACUUUCAGAGUCACUAGCAUUAAGAUUUAAGGGCUCAUCAUUCUCAGAGUCUGUCACAUGAUGUCCUUUGGGGAGGCCAUCUUCUCGAUCACUAGUUUCAUU